RNAcentral lists this ribosomal RNA (255 nucleotides) under uncultured bacterium. Its description in RNAcentral is "partial 16S ribosomal RNA". It matches the Rfam family "Bacterial small subunit ribosomal RNA", at positions 524 to 776 of the family's 1533-position model. The record is from RNAcentral.
UACGUAGGGGGCAAGCGUUGUCCGGAUUUAUUGGGCGUAAAGAGCGUGUAGGCGGCUUGGUAGGUCCGCUGUGAAAACUCGAGGCUCAACCUCGAGAUGUCGGCGGAAACCACUUGGCUAGAGUCCGGAAGAGGAGAGUGGAAUUCCUGGUGUAGCGGUGAAAUGCGCAGAUAUCAGGAAGAACACCUAUGGCGAAGGCAGCUCUCUGGGACGGUACUGGACGCUGAGACGCGAAAAGCGUGGGGAGCGAACAGG